CUAACGUCCGUCGUGAAGAGGGAAACAACCCAGACCGCCAGCUAAGGUCCCAAAGUCAUGGUUAAGUGGGAAACGAUGUGGGAAGGCCCAGACAGCCAGGAUGUUGGCUUAGAAGCAGCCAUCAUUUAAAGAAAGCGUAAUAGCUCACUGGUCGAGUCGGCCUGCGCGGAAGAUGUAACGGGGCUAAACCAUGCACCGAAGCUGCGGCAGCGACGCUUAUGCGUUGUUGGGUAGGGGAGCGUUCUGUAAGCCUGUGAAGGUGUGCUGUGAGGUAUGCUGGAGGUAUCAGAAGUGCGAAUGCUGACAUAAGUAACGAUAAAGCGGGUGAAAAGCCCGCUCGCCGGAAGACCAAGGGUUCCUGUCCAACGUUAAUCGGGGCAGGGUGAGUCGACCCCUAAGGCGAGGCCGAAAGGCGUAGUCGAUGGGAAACAGGUUAAUAUUCCUGUACUUGGUGUUACUGCGAAGGGGGGACGGAGAAGGCUAUGUUGGCCGGGCGACGGUUGUCCCGGUUUAAGCGUGUAGGCUGGUUUUCCAGGCAAAUCCGGAAAAUCAAGGCCGAGGCGUGAUGACGAGGCACUACGGUGCUGAAGCAACAAAUGCCCUGCUUCCAGGAAAAGCCUCUAAGCAUCAGGUAACAUCAAAUCGUACCCCAAACCGACACAGGUGGUCAGGUAGAGAAUACCAAGGCGCUUGAGAGAACUCGGGUGAAGGAACUAGGCAAAAUGGUGCCGUAACUUCGGGAGAAGGCACGCUGAUACGUAGGUGAAGCGACUUGCUCGUGGAGCUGAAAUCAGUCGAAGAUACCAGCUGGCUGCAACUGUUUAUUAAAAACACAGCACUGUGCAAACACGAAAGUGGACGUAUACGGUGUGACGCCUGCCCGGUGCCGGAAGGUUAAUUGAUGGGGUUAGCGCAAGCGAAGCUCUUGAUCGAAGCCCCGGUAAACGGCGGCCGUAACUAUAACGGUCCUAAGGUAGCGAAAUUCCUUGUCGGGUAAGUUCCGACCUGCACGAAUGGCGUAAUGAUGGCCAGGCUGUCUCCACCCGAGACUCAGUGAAAUUGAACUCGCUGUGAAGAUGCAGUGUACCCGCGGCAAGACGGAAAGACCCCGUGAACCUUUACUAUAGCUUGACACUGAACAUUGAGCCUUGAUGUGUAGGAUAGGUGGGAGGCUUUGAAGUGUGGACGCCAGUCUGCAUGGAGCCGACCUUGAAAUACCACCCUUUAAUGUUUGAUGUUCUAACGUGGACCCGUGAUCCGGGUUGCGGACAGUGUCUGGUGGGUAGUUUGACUGGGGCGGUCUCCUCCUAAAGAGUAACGGAGGAGCACGAAGGUUGGCUAAUCCUGGUCGGACAUCAGGAGGUUAGUGCAAUGGCAUAAGCCAGCUUGACUGCGAGCGUGACGGCGCGAGCAGGUGCGAAAGCAGGUCAUAGUGAUCCGGUGGUUCUGAAUGGAAGGGCCAUCGCUCAACGGAUAAAAGGUACUCCGGGGAUAACAGGCUGAUACCGCCCAAGAGUUCAUAUCGACGGCGGUGUUUGGCACCUCGAUGUCGGCUCAUCACAUCCUGGGGCUGAAGUAGGUCCCAAGGGUAUGGCUGUUCGCCAUUUAAAGUGGUACGCGAGCUGGGUUUAGAACGUCGUGAGACAGUUCGGUCCCUAUCUGCCGUGGGCGCUGGAGAACUGAGGGGGGCUGCUCCUAGUACGAGAGGACCGGAGUGGACGCAUCACUGGUGUUCGGGUUGUCAUGCCAAUGGCACUGCCCGGUAGCUAAAUGCGGAAGAGAUAAGUGCUGAAAGCAUCUAAGCACGAAACUUGCCCCGAGAUGAGUUCUCCCUGACCCUUUAAGGGUCCUGAAGGAACGUUGAAGACGACGACGUUGAUAGGCCGGGUGUGUAAGCGCAGCGAUGCGUUGAGCUAACCGGUACUAAUGAACCGUGAGGCUUAACCUU
This 1948-nucleotide ribosomal RNA is filed under the name Escherichia coli. RNAcentral describes it as "partial 23S ribosomal RNA". It matches the Rfam family "Bacterial large subunit ribosomal RNA", at positions 998 to 2925 of the family's 2925-position model. The record is from RNAcentral. Lineage: Bacteria; Pseudomonadati; Pseudomonadota; Gammaproteobacteria; Enterobacterales; Enterobacteriaceae. RNAcentral also lists the same sequence under 3 other names.